GUAUCACAAAGCUACUGAACGAGUGAAGCUUUCUGUAGAUCUUCGCUGGUCUUUGUUAUUUGCUAACUUUGAAAUCUCUGAGUGUUCGAAUUCGACAGUUUGACUCAUUCUCUGUUACGAUUCGAAUUGAUGUCUUUAGCACAGCUGGUUCUGCUCAACUAUGGAUUAGCAAGCAUACACCAAGUUCGAAAAUGAACAUGUCCGGUCAAAUAUAACCGACUUCAAACAGGUUUUAGAGAUAACCGGGUGUUGGCUUGUCACAGAUUUCUCAGGCUGUGUAUGACGUUGAGGAAGCAACCGCAGAAGCGUUUGACAUAAUUUUAUCACAAAAGGCCAUUAAAUCAUCUGAAACAAGUGCGUCAUUUAUAAGAUUUAUCCAGCUUCUAACAGCACAUCAUGCUUCCAGGAGGUAAAGUAAAGUCCCAUCAUCCUAAUGUCUAUUGUUGCUUAUCGCUGG
Molecule: long non-coding RNA, 457 nt
Organism: Brassica oleracea var. oleracea
Lineage: Eukaryota; Viridiplantae; Streptophyta; Magnoliopsida; Brassicales; Brassicaceae
Exons: 3
Source: RefSeq, a predicted model, not a curated record